GACGAACGCUGGCGGCGUGCUUAACACAUGCAAGUCGAACGGAAAGGCCCUGCUUUUGUGGGGUGCUCGAGUGGCGAACGGGUGAGUAACACGUGAGUAACCUGCCCUUGACUUUGGGAUAACUUCAGGAAACUGGGGCUAAUACCGGAUAGGAGCUCCUGCUGCAUGGUGGGGGUUGGAAAGUUUCGGCGGUUGGGGAUGGACUAGCGGCUUAUCAGCUUGUUGGUGGGGUAGUGGCUUACCAAGGCUUUGACGGGUAGCCGGCCUGAGAGGGUGACCGGCCACAUUGGGACUGAGAUACGGCCCAGACUCCUACGGGAGGCAGCGGUGGGGAAUAUUGCACAAUGGGCGGAAGCCUGAUGCAGCAACGCCGCGUGCGGGAUGACGGCCUUCGGGCUGUAAACCGCUUUCGCCUGUGACGAAGCGUGAGUGACGGUAAUGGGUAAAGAAGCACCGGCUAACUACGUG
RNAcentral lists this ribosomal RNA (468 nucleotides) under uncultured bacterium. RNAcentral's name for it is "partial 16S ribosomal RNA". It matches the Rfam family "Bacterial small subunit ribosomal RNA", at positions 28 to 507 of the family's 1533-position model. The record is from RNAcentral.